GCGGACGUGGCGAAACUGGUAGACGCAGCAGACUUAAAAUCUGUUUCUUGUACAAGAGUGCGGGUUCGACUCCCGCCGCCCGCACCA
This 87-nucleotide transfer RNA is filed under the name Hyphomicrobiales bacterium. RNAcentral's name for it is "tRNA-Leu". It matches the Rfam family "tRNA". From Rfam's summary of the family: Transfer RNA (tRNA) molecules are approximately 80 nucleotides in length. The record is from RNAcentral. Lineage: Bacteria; Pseudomonadati; Pseudomonadota; Alphaproteobacteria; Hyphomicrobiales.